GAUGAAGAACGUAGCGAAAUGCGAUACGUAAUGUGAAUUGCAGAAUUCAGUGAAUCAUCGAAUCUUUGAACGCAUAUUGCGCUCUCUGGUAUUCCGGAGAGCAUGCUUGUUUGAGUAUCAGUAAACACCUCAACUUCCAUAUCUUUUUUGAAAUGGGAGUUGGACUUGAGUGAUCCCAACGCUUUUCCUCACCGAAAAGUGGCGGGUUACUUGAAAUGCAGGAGCAGCUGGACUUUUCUCUGAGCUAUAAGCAUAUCUAUUUAGUCUGCCUAAAAAACAGAUUAUUACCUUUGCUGCAGCUAACAUAAAGGAGAUUAGUUCUUGUGCUGACUGAUGCAGGAUUCACAAAGACAGGCUUCGGCCGACUUUGUAAACUCGAUCUCAAAUCAAGUAAGACUACCCGCUGAACUUAAGCAUAUCAAUAAGCGGAGGA
Molecule: unclassified non-coding RNA, 433 nt
Filed under: soil metagenome
Description: partial contains 5.8S ribosomal RNA, internal transcribed spacer 2, and large subunit ribosomal RNA
Rfam family: 5.8S ribosomal RNA (bases 1-120)
Source: RNAcentral